RNAcentral lists this ribosomal RNA (400 nucleotides) under uncultured bacterium. RNAcentral describes it as "bacterial SSU rRNA". It matches the Rfam family "Bacterial small subunit ribosomal RNA", at positions 356 to 773 of the family's 1533-position model. The record is from RNAcentral.
GGGGAAUAUUGCACAAUGGGGGAAACCCUGAUGCAGCAACGCCGCGUGAGCGAUGAAGGCCUUCGGGUUGUAAAGCUCUGUCUUCGCUGACGAUAAUGACGGUAAGCGAGGAGGAAGCCACGGCUAACUACGUGCCAGCAGCCGCGGUAAUACGUAGGUGGCAAGCGUUGUCCGGAAUUACUGGGCGUAAAGGAUGCGUAGGCGGCCUCUUAAGUGGGAUGUGAAAUGCCGGGGCUUAACCCGGGAGGUGCAUUCCAUACUGGGAGGCUAGAGUGCAGGAGAGGAAAGCGGAAUUCCCAGUGUAGCGGUGAAAUGCGUAGAGAUUGGGAGGAACACCAGUGGCGAAGGCGGCUUUCUGGACUGUAACUGACGCUGAGGCAUGAAAGUGUGGGGAGCAAAC